This 360-nucleotide unclassified non-coding RNA is filed under the name Hevea brasiliensis (rubber tree). The record is from RNAcentral. Lineage: Eukaryota; Viridiplantae; Streptophyta; Magnoliopsida; Malpighiales; Euphorbiaceae.
GUCGUUUUGUUGUCUGGGAUUUUUUUCCCAUUGGAAAUUAGGCUUCUUCUGUUCUGUGUUUCUUUAGGUUUUUGAGGUUUUUUGAUAUUGUUGAAUUUUAGAUUCUUAAAGUUGGGUUGAGAUGGAUGCAGACUUAUCUCCAGGUUUUGUUACUGGAGAAAAGGAUCUAUUUAAAUCUUUAAGGUCACCGUUGUUGACACAGAACAAGGAUAAUGAUAUGUUCACACUAAUAGCCGACUCUAGAAUGUGUUUGGUCGCUUGAACGUUGAGCUGCUACUUUGCUGCCCUUUACUUUCAUUUUUCUCCUGUUUGAUUAUUGAAACUAUUGUCCUAUUACUGGCUUAUGUUGGUGAAAUUGAG